RNAcentral lists this small RNA (38 nucleotides) under Bombyx mori (domestic silkworm). RNAcentral's name for it is "ovarian small RNA-16332". The record is from RNAcentral. Lineage: Eukaryota; Metazoa; Arthropoda; Insecta; Lepidoptera; Bombycidae.
GCACCUGAAAUUACUGAUGAUGCAACAGAUAUCAAUUC